This 476-nucleotide ribosomal RNA is filed under the name uncultured bacterium. Its description in RNAcentral is "bacterial SSU rRNA". It matches the Rfam family "Bacterial small subunit ribosomal RNA", at positions 501 to 981 of the family's 1533-position model. The record is from RNAcentral.
CUACGUGCCAGCAGCCGCGGUAAUACGGAAGGUCCGGGCGUUAUCCGGAAUUAUUGGGUUUAAAGGGAGCGCAGGCGGGAGUAUAAGUCAGCUGUUAAAUAUCAGGGCCCAACUCUGUUAUGCAGUUGAAACUAUAUUUCUUGAGUACGCACAACGUUGGCGGAAUUCGUCGUGUAGCGGUGAAAUGCUUAGAUAUGACGAAGAACUCCGAUUGCGAAGGCAGCUGACGGGAGCGCAACUGACGCUUAAGCUCGAAGGUGCGGGUAUCGAACAGGAUUAGAUACCCUGGUAGUCCGCACAGUAAACGAUGGAUGCCCGCUGUUGGUACCUGGUAUCAGCGGCUAAGCGAAAGCAUUAAGCAUCCCACCUGGGGAGUACGCCGGCAACGGUGAAACUCAAAGGAAUUGACGGGGGCCCGCACAAGCGGAGGAACAUGUGGUUUAAUUCGAUGAUACGCGAGGAACCUUACCCGGGCU